UGAAAAUAGAAAGUGAGUCAUGC
RNAcentral lists this non-coding RNA (23 nucleotides) under Cricetulus griseus (Chinese hamster). Lineage: Eukaryota; Metazoa; Chordata; Mammalia; Rodentia; Cricetidae. The record is from RNAcentral.